CCAAGUGUAAACCCGUCACAGAGAUCAAAACCAAGAAACAAACGGGGCUCUCACGUGAAUCCAUUACCCUCGGAGAGAAUAAAGGAGAUGCUGCCGGGGCCGACGCCGACGCCGACGCUGACGCUGACGCUGACGCUGGUGGGAACCCUGUUUGGGCCGGGCAUCUUAGAUGCACUCCGUUGCCCUCUGCAAGCUCCUCUAUAUCCGGCUGUUGGAUGGGUGGGAUCGAUCGGUUCUAUGUUACCUUGCGUGCUGGGAUGAGGCUGAGGGUCGUCUUCAUGAAUCAUUUCGUAGGACGACGACCUCAAGGCGGCGGUUGACAAGAUGCUGCACAAGGCAAUGGCCGUCAACCAGUACAGAAACUUCUGUCCGUCUUUUUAUUUUGCCUGCCCCUUCUUGAUUUCUUUAUCCUGUUCGAUUUGAUCACCAGUUGGUGUUCUGAAUCUGAAAACCUAAUUUUAGGUGUUCAAGAAGCAUUCUUUCUGAUCCCUCGCGUUGAAGGUUUGCGAGAAAUGAGAGUUUGUGGAAGAAUUGAGGGGAGAGGAUGCCAAGUAUCCACAUGAGGUGGUACUGUUAGGGACCACUGAAAGAUUGAGAUGGUCGCGCUAUGUAAUUGAAGAUUGUGGAUGUAUUUUGAUGUUCGAAGGAUUCGAUAACAAAAUAGAUAUUGCACACCUAAAAAUUUGUAACAAUGAGCACAGACAGAGAAAAUUAAAAGGAAAUAACAAUGACAAUUAGGGAAGGAAGGAAGGAUAUAUACUAUAUGAAAGAAAAGAAUACUGAAAUAUCCUACAUAAUUUCCUUUCUCUUUUGUUAUUGUAUGCCUAAGUUUCAGACAAAAUUGUUUUUCACAUUGUCUGACUCGGCACAGUUCAAUAUGGUAAUGAUUUAGAACUUGUUCGUUUGAUUCAUAAUGCUCAUGGGACUUCCUAUUUUCUUGGUGGAUGCUUGUGUAGCAAACUUGAUAGAUGCUGAUAAUGGAUAAACAAAAUUGGAUGCCUGCGCUCAUCUUUUUGGUAAAUGCUGAUAAAUCUUGCCAAUCAACUUCUAUCUUUAUGUGUAAGCUUAUCCAUGUAUACUUGCUUCAGUUCUUAAGGAGUCAAAUUAAUCAACUGUCAUGCUCAAUCGAUACAGAUUCAGCAUAUUAGUCGAUCAAGGUCUUCUUAGUCUGUAGUUCUUGCAAUUUUCUGGUUCAUGUGGGAAACAUACUAAUAGAACAUAUUCUUAAGUUGUUUUGGCAUACUGGAUCUGCAAAAUUUUCAUUACUUGUUAAUCCAUGCACCUUCUCCAUCACAUGGAAUAGAAAAAUCAUCAUUAUAAAAGGGAAAAAAGAUCAAUCUGGAUCGUGAAUAGGGCUCAGUAAUUGUUAUUUCUGUAGGUUUAUUCCAUCAUGAACUCUCAAGAUUAAUUGACAUCUCUAGUACUUCUAAUAAAUCAUGUUGGUGCCAUCUCUUUUCCUUUGUGAUAGGACUGAAGUAUCUUAUAAGAGUACACUGAUGAUUAUUUUGAGCUUUGUAACACUAGCUAAUGUUAUAUACCAUCUAAAAAAUAUAUGCAGGUCCCAGACGCUUUUAGUGACAUGACAUGUGAUAAUCUAAGAUAAUGUAUACCAAGUUUAAACUAAGCAGAGACAAACACAAAGGGGUAUUUCCAUUUGGAAAGAAAAAAAAAAAGGAUGCACCCAAUUUCUGGAAACCUGUGACUAUUUUGGGCAGUUAUAUUAAAAUGAAUUGUAUCUUGCGAAUAUGCUUAUAAAUCCAAUUUGGGACAACCGUCUUUUACUGGAACUGAAAACUCUUUUUUCCCUUUCUUCUUUAUCACCAGCUGAAAAUCACCAUCAUCAUUAUCCUUUCCCUUAAAAACAGUUGAAUGGAUGAAGCUGUCAAGUAGGUGUGUACAGUUAUGAUGAUGUUGGUAGCUUUCAUAUUUUUAAUUGAAAUUACCUGUAUAUUGAGGUAUUGCAUGAAGGGAAGAAAUUACCCUGUUUCUGCUCCAUAAACUUGUCUUAAAAAUAUGAUUUGCAUUGUGAAAAAUUCAGCUUCCCUAUGUCUAUACAGUAAUUAACAAAGUUUAGCAUCAUUCAGAAAAUGCUUGUAUGCCCCUUCGUAGAACUUUGGUGCAUGAAAUUGUUCACUAAUAUGGACUGUCAUUGAUUAUAAAACUGAAUAACUCUAAAUUUUCCCUCAUUUGUCAUAGAAAAUGGUGGAUGGCACUGAUAUCAACUUUAGAGAAGUAUAUAUGUGAAUAUACCUAUACAGACCACCAGCUAACAAAUUAUGUGAGAUUGUUUGCUUUGUAUGGCCUUUUGCCAUUAUGUUGUAAUCCAAAGACAGGCAUGUCUCUCAGCGACAGUUGUGCUGCAGGCAGAGUGCAAUCUUCAUGAAAUACUAUUUAGAUCAAGUAAACUCAUCCACUGAUUCUUGUAAAUAUCUUGAUUGGUUGGUUUUUGUGAAUGAGUUGGUGGUUGUUAAUCUGUCUACUUCUGUGCACCAUCAACUGCAGAUUGGCUUGUAAACAUGCUACUUGCCCUUAGGAUACAGGGAAACAAUGUAAUGUUUUACUUAGCUAAAUUCAAAGAUUUCAUAGGUGAAGCAAUAUUUAAUGUGCUUGUAAAUUAAUGAUGUUUUGCUGUUCGACAAGAAGUUUUUCUCAUUAGACAAACUUCUAUCAUUGCUCAUUGAGCUUCUCUAUUCUUGUUGCUCUUUUUUUAUCAUGUUGCAGAUGAUGAAGUUUUGAGUAAUACAUCAGGUGCUUCAUUGGUAAUUUUUUGAGCCUUUUAUAGGAGUUUAUCUUUCCUACAAAUUCAUGAUCACUAGUACCCUAAAUUUUUAUGCCUACAAUCAUGAAGAGACGUUAUCUUUAACCAGGUGCAGUUCUGCAUCAUCUUCAGACAUUAUAAUUGGAUAGUAAACCUGCAAGGUGAAUGUCUGUUCUUAGAAAUUUGACUCUUUGAAUAUAGGACAUGUUUUCUCCCAACAUGACUCUGCUUUCAUGUUAGCAUUUGAAAGAACAUCUCUUCCAUUCUUCACCUCCACUAGACCUGCUACAUGGACACGACUGUACUAUUAUUAUCCUUGGUGAUAAUGUUCUCUGAGCUACCAAUUGUGCCUAAUGGUGGUUUUGUUCAAGUCAACCAACCAAACUAAGGCUUUGACACAACUAAUCUGCCAGAAUAUGCUUAUACUGCAACUUUCUUUCCGGUGCUUACUCUCUGAAUCUUCAGGGAAACGUGGAGCAGCAUAUCAGAGACCUGGCGCGAACUAGGCCGCUCGGAAGGAGCCAUCCUGGUGCAUUGCAAGGCCACAUUGAGCACUUCAAACAGAGAGGACUCCUCACGCGGUGCCACCGGCUUCAGAGCAGGAUCCAGCAACUCCUCCCGCUCUGUCACCGUCAUCGUCGUCGCAGUCCGAGACUGCACCCAGGUCACCAUAUUCAUGUCUCCUCCGAACCUCCGAUCUGUGGGCAUUAACCCGCUAACGAGCUCCAUGAGAACAAUGCCCAUGCUGUAGACGUCGCUCUUCUCCGUCGCCUUUGGGGACGUACCUGGAGCCAUGUAGCCAUAGGAUCCGGCGAAGCAGGAGCCAGUCUCCGUGUACCGUGCCGAACCGUCCGGGUAAUUCUCGGCGGCGACUGCCUUUGCCAGUCCAAAGUCGCCCAAAUGUGCCUCCAUGUCACCGUCGAGCAGCACAUUGCUCGACUUGAUAUCCCUGUGAACUAUCAUUGGCACGCAGUCGUGGUGCAGGUACUCCACUCCUUUGGCAAGGCCGAUCGCGAUCUUCAACCUGGCCUCCCAGCUCAGCUCUCGCUUCCUCUUCUGGCUCACUGCAGGCUCGUGCAGCCAAUUCCACAGGCUUCCAUUCUCCAUGUACUCGUAUACCAGCAGAUGCUCCCCCUGAUUUCUGCUAAGCAAGGAUUCCCUUUUGUCAUGCAGAAUCUUCUUCACGGCCACUGUCUCACCGGACGGCAUUUCAACUCUGUAGACGGUGCCCGACCCGCCAGAACCGAUGACGAACUCGUCGCUCAGGUUGCACGUCGCUUCCAUGAUAGCUUCCCAUUUGAGUUCUCGCCUCGUGGAUCCCUUCACGAUCAGUUCUCGAUGAAUCUUGGAAGAGGAACCCUUGAAGGAGUAUGCGCAAUUGACCUCGCUUGAUCUCUCUGCGCACCGCCUUCUGAUCCAUAACACAGCGGCUAUCAGCAGGAGAAUGAUCACCAGCGUCACGGUGGCAGAGAUCACGGCUACAGCAGCUGAGCUUAAGGUGGAACCUUCGCGGGCGGGCCUGAUAAUGUUGCACGGCUGGAGGGGACUCCCGCAGAGACCAAGGUUCGCAGCGAAAGACUGCGGUGGCCAGCGGGCGAAUCGGCCGUCCAAUUGCCCCUCCAAAUCGUUGCUCGAGAGAUCGAGCACCACCAAGCUACUCAUUUCACCUAUUUGUCGCGGGACAUCUCCGGUCAGAAAAUUGUGCGAGAGGUUCAGAUAUUCGAGCUUCGCAAGCGACGCAAGCGAUGACGGAAUCUCGCCGCUGAGGUUGUUGAAGCUGAGGUCUAACGCACUCUGUAGUUCCUGCAGUCGUCCAAGCUCGACCAGGACCGGCCCGGUGAACAGAUUCCUCGACAACCGGAGCUCAUAAAGCUUGCUUAGCUGCGCUAUGGAGGCAGGGAUUGCUCCAGAAAACUGAUUGUGGGCUAAGUCCAGGACAUUGACGGAUGCAAGUUUGCCAAUUUCAGGAGGGAGUGAGCCACUGAGUGAGUUAUCUGCGAGAGAGACCUUCAGUAGAUUAGAGCAAUUGAAGAGCUCAACAGGAAGAGGCCCAAAGAAUCUGUUAGAAGAGAGUUUGAGCUCCCCCAGCUGCGGUAUGCUCCCAAGCCACGUCGGGACGACUCCAGUUAGCCGAUUAUUGUUCAGAACAAUGUGGGUGAGAUUCUUGCAUGCCGCCAGUUCCUUCGGUAUUACUCCGGUCAGCAAGUUGCUCGACAAGUCCAGAAGCGAGAGAGCCCCGAUUUCUCCGAGCAUCGGCGGUAUCUUGCCGGUCAGACGAUUGUUCCCCAGCCGGAUCCGCUCGAGCGCCGGUGAGUUUCCGAGUUGCGCUGGAAUCUCCAGGUUGAAGGAAUUGUUGGUGAGAUCGAACGACAGAAGCGAGGUCGAGCCGCACAGCGGAAGGAUGCUCCCGUUGAACCGGUUGUUGGACAGGUUCACUCUCGUGAUGUUCCGGCAAUCAAACAUCUCAUCGGGGAUGCUUCCUUCGAGCGAGUUGUUGUACAGCAUGAGCUGUUGGAGCGAUUUCAGGAGCCCAAAAGUCGCCGGAAUCCCGCCAGGGAGCCGGUUGUCGGCCAAGUCGAGGAUCGUGAGCUGCCGGCAAUUGCCCAGCGACGCGGGGAUCUUGCUGGAGAGGUCGUUCUGCCUCAGAUGCAGGAAACUGAGCUGCUCCAGCCUGCCGAUAGUCGCCGGAAUGCCGCCAGAGAACUGGUUCCCGUAGAAAUCGAUCAUUUUCAAGCUUGAACAGUUCCCGAUGGCCGAGGGGAUCUCGCCGGACAACUGGUUUUCAUAGAGAUAAAGGAUCUGCAGCUGCUGCAACCUGCCAAUCUCCUCCGGCAGCUGCCCUCGCAGCUCAUUGUGAUAGAGCGUCAGUAUCUGAAGAUUGCUGAGGUUGCCGAAUUCGCGAAGAAUCGAACCCGACAAGCUGUUAUUGUUGAGCAGGAGAUCAGUAAGGUCGACGAGCUCACCGAGUUCGACCGGGAUUGCGCCAGUGAAGCUGUUGUUUGCCAAAUCCAAUUGCGUCAAGGACAGGCAUUGGACCAAGCCGGCCGGAAUUUGACCGGAGAACCUGUUGGUGGACAGGAACAAGUGCUGCAACCUAGUCGCAUUUUGGCAGAGGUCCUCCGGCAGGCCGCCGGAGAGUUUGUUGUUGGACAAGACUAGAUAAUUGAGUUCACUCAGUUGGCCGAGCUCGGCGGGGAACUCGCCUUCGAGCUCGUUCAUCGACAAGUCCAGAUUUUGAAGGCCGACGAGCUUGCAGAGAGAUCUCGGAAUGGUCCCUUCAAGCCGGUUGGACAUCAUGUUGAGGUAGGUUAAUUGGCUCAGCUUGCCGAGUUGACUCGGUAUUUCUCCCUGCAGCAAGUUGUUGGCAAGGUUUAGGAUCCGGAGAUCAGCCAGAUUGCCGAGCUCCGAGGGGAUAUGACCGUCGAGCUGGUUCUGUUGGAGGACUAAGUUCUGGAGAUGUGUCAGCCGGCCGAGUCGACGCGGAAUGGAGCCGGAGAGGUUGCAGAGGGCCAAGGCGAGAGUGGUCAGGUUCCGGAGGUCGCCGAACGAGUCCGGGAUCGGUCCCGACAGGCCUGGGUUGUCGCCCAGCCGGAUGACUCGAAGGCUGGAGAGCGAGCCGAGCGAAGAGGGAAUCGUUCCCGAGAGACGGUUGGAGUAGAGGAAGAGAGUGGUCAGAGCGGAGAGCCCGGCGAGCUGGCUCGGGAUUGUACCCGUGAGCCGGUUGGAGGAGACAUCGAGGGUGGCGAGUCGACUCAGCCGGCCGAGGGAGCGGGAGAGGGAGCCAGCCAGGGACGAGGAGGAGAGAUUGAGAGCCACCACCGCCGAGUCCAGAUCGCAGGUGACUCCAUUCCAAGAGCAGUAGUCGGGGUUAUCCUUUCUCCAGUCGUCGAGCACUCCUCGGGGGUCCUCCGUGAAAGAUUUCCUCACCUCAAAAAGAACUUCCAUGUACACCGAGUCCAAGUAGCGACAGAGAGCCGAAGGAGGCAGGAAAGAGAUCACCACCAGUAGAACAACCAGCGUGAUCCUCCGGUUGCAUUCACAACCCCCCUUCCUUGCGCCACCUGCUUUUCUGGGACAGAAGAGAAAAUUGGAGGAUGAGAGGGAGAAAGAAAGGGGUGAAAACACCUGCAUGUUGACGACAUAUUUGAGCUUCUAUUCUGCAUCAAAAGUUUUAUCUGUCAUCUUCUGUGGAAGUAAAUCUUUAUGGUAGGAAUCCUUCCAAUGAGAUUACUUGUUCGACAAUGGUCAAAGCAUGGUCCUACAGAAUAUGGGCAGCAUAUCAGAACUGUCUCCAUUACUUAAUAGCAGCUGUUUCUUCAAUUCAACAUAAAGGAAUUUAGAGUCACGGGUAGAUCAAACGACUCACUCCCUCGACUAUUCCAACGCAUAAAACAAGCUUCCACCAACUUGCUCUUUUGCGUUGCUGUUGUUCUAUUGCAUGUCUUCUUCUCUUUGUUUUCCUCUCUCACAACAUAUUUUUUUCUCGUGCAAACUGAUAGGCUCUGUGAUGAAGGUGAGAGUCACCGAACCCAGCUGUCUUCAAGUGCUAUUUCUUUUUGGCAGUGGGGAAGGAGAAGACUGCAGCGAGCGAGACUCGAUUGGUGAUUUCUGCACAUAAUAUGGAGAUGGUUUGUUCUUGAUUGCAAUAGGAUACCCCUCCUCACCAUUCUUCAGAUGAAAUGGAGGUGGCCUCCCAUCGGCAGAUUUAGGCUAGCAAAGGACAUCAAGAAGAGAUUCCAGCGCACAAAGAUGAAAGAAAGAUUGAUGUGGUCAAUGAGAAUUCAAGUGUUGGGAUACAAUCUGAUGAGUGCUAAUCUAUGAUGUGUUGGGCAAAAAAGACAAAACGGCUAAGAAGAAGCAUAACCCAGCAGCAUUUUGGCCUUACAAGUACUUGAAUUGAAGAUGACAAGUGGAGACCAAACUUUUAGAUUAAAUGAUGGCGUGAAAAUGAGAAGUUGAGCUGUGUGUAUAUAUACUCGAGCAGGAAGCAGGAUUUGUGGUGGUAUAAUGUUGCCUUAUCGGCUUUGGUAUGAACACUGACUGACACAGCCUGGUCUCAGCCCCAUUGCCAGUCACUCGAAAAGGGCAGGACAAAAUCUUGACCUACAGACGCCAAGGUUGACUGUGUUGAAAGGGGACAAACACAAAUUUUGGGGUGACUCGUUCCAGCCCCCUUCUCUGCAGAGGUCAGGCAGCAAUGGCUUGAAAGAUUACCCCCUCCCCCAUUUAUUUUUUGGCCUCUCUCACUGGUCAAGGUCAGAAACUUGACCUGGGGCUUUGGAUCGUGUUAGUGGGAAUUCUUCUAGGGUAAUACCAGUUCUAGAUGCAGAAGAUAUGACAGUAUAA
Long non-coding RNA from Musa acuminata AAA Group (dessert banana), 8104 nucleotides. RefSeq lists it as uncharacterized. The transcript has 7 exons. The record is from RefSeq and is a predicted model, not a curated record. Lineage: Eukaryota; Viridiplantae; Streptophyta; Magnoliopsida; Zingiberales; Musaceae.